This 410-nucleotide ribosomal RNA is filed under the name Streptococcus sp. HGH0178. RNAcentral describes it as "bacterial SSU rRNA". It matches the Rfam family "Bacterial small subunit ribosomal RNA", at positions 80 to 477 of the family's 1533-position model. The record is from RNAcentral. Lineage: Bacteria; Bacillati; Bacillota; Bacilli; Lactobacillales; Streptococcaceae.
GCUCUUCUUGGAUGAGUUGCGAACGGGUGAGUAACGCGUAGGUAACCUGCCUUGUAGCGGGGGAUAACUAUUGGAAACGAUAGCUAAUACCGCAUAACAAUGGAUGACACAUGUCAUUUAUUUGAAAGGGGCAAUUGCUCCACUACAAGAUGGACCUGCGUUGUAUUAGCUAGUAGGUGAGGUAACGGCUCACCUAGGCGACGAUACAUAGCCGACCUGAGAGGGUGAUCGGCCACACUGGGACUGAGACACGGCCCACACUCCUACGGGAGGCAGCAGUAAGGAAUCUUCGGCAAUGGGGGCAACCCUGACCGAGCAACGCCGCGUGAGUGAAGAAGGUUUUCGGAUCGUAAAGCUCUGUUGUAAGUCAAGAACGAGUGUGAGAGUGGAAAGUUCACACUGUGACGGUA